Molecule: long non-coding RNA, 612 nt
Organism: Oryzias melastigma (Indian medaka)
Lineage: Eukaryota; Metazoa; Chordata; Actinopteri; Beloniformes; Adrianichthyidae
Exons: 3
Source: RefSeq, a predicted model, not a curated record
UGCAACAACAAAUGGUGUUAAAUGAAGCUAAUGACCUAAUCAACAUAAGCUCUAAAACAUCUUAGAAGUUGCUUCUCUGUUAAAGCCAAGCUAUUGGGGGUUAGUCCGGGAUGCAUCUUGAUUGGAUGAUGUCAAUGAAAGCGCCAUGGGUCUGUGGUCUUCUGGCUGCAUUAAAAGAUGUUUGAGUCCCAGGUUUCCACGCAGCGCCAUGCAGACUUCCACACACGAACAGCAUCAAACGUCAGCUACAACAGUCGCGGGUAGAGCAGGAUCUGACAUCAACAGCAGUGACAACUUGUGAAGAGCUACAGACUAAAGAUUUUAAUCCCAUCAGUGGGAUGUCCGCUUUUUAUUCCAGAUGGAGCUCUGAGCCGCAGAAAGAUUUCACACGAAGCUGAUGCCGAAAAACACCAGGGAUGGGUUUGUAAUCAUUUUACUGCUACAAUUAUUGAGUCAAAUUCUAUUUUUCCCUCUUUUAGUUUUAAUAAUUACUAAUGAUCACACAUUAUCAUUUAUAACGGCGGUUAGUUCAAAGACAACUCCAAAUAAAGGCUGUUUAUUAAACAAGGUGCACUAAAAAUAUCUAAAACAGUUUAAAAUUUACAAGAACAU